This 444-nucleotide ribosomal RNA is filed under the name uncultured bacterium. RNAcentral's name for it is "partial 16S ribosomal RNA". It matches the Rfam family "Bacterial small subunit ribosomal RNA", at positions 331 to 792 of the family's 1533-position model. The record is from RNAcentral.
CCAGACUCCUACGGGAGGCAGCAGUGGGGGAUAUUGCACAAUGGGCGCAAGCCUGAUGCAGCGACGCCGCGUGAGCGAAGAAGUAUUUCGGUAUGUAAAGCUCUAUCAGCAGGGAAGAAAAUGACGGUACCUGACUAAGAAGCUCCGGCUAAAUACGUGCCAGCAGCCGCGGUAAUACGUAUGGAGCAAGCGUUAUCCGGAAUUACUGGGUGUAAAGGGGGCGCAGACGGCAGCGCAAGCCAGGAGUGAAAGCCCGGGGCCCAACCCCGGGACUGCCCUUGGAACUGCAUGGCUGGAGUGCGGGAGGGGCAGGCGGAAUUCCUGGUGUAGCGGUGAAAUGCGUAGAUAUCAGGAGGAACACCGGUGGCGAAGGCGGCCUGCUGGACCGCGACUGACGUUGAGGCUCGAAAGCGUGGGGAGCGAACAGGAUUAGAUACCCCAGUA